Molecule: ribosomal RNA, 460 nt
Filed under: uncultured bacterium
Lineage: Bacteria
Description: partial 16S ribosomal RNA
Rfam family: Bacterial small subunit ribosomal RNA
Source: RNAcentral
CCUACGGGUGGCAGCAGUGAGGAAUAUUGGUCAAUGGACGAGAGUCUGAACCAGCCAAGUAGCGUGAAGGAUGACUGCCCUAUGGGUUGUAAACUUCUUUUAUAUGGGAAUAAAAUGUUCCACGUGUGGGAUUUUGUAUGUACCAUAUGAAUAAGGAUCGGCUAACUCCGUGCCAGCAGCCGCGGUAAUACGGAGGAUCCGAGCGUUAUCCGGAUUUAUUGGGUUUAAAGGGAGCGUAGGUGGAUUGUUAAGUCAGUUGUGAAAGUUUGCGGCUCAACCGUAAAAUUGCAGUUGAAACUGGCAGUCUUGAGUACAGUAGAGGUGGGCGGAAUGCGUGGUGUAGCGGUGAAAUGCUUAGAUAUCACGAAGAACUCCGAUUGCGAAGGCAGUUCACUGGACUGCAACUGACACUGAGGCUCGAAAGUGUGGGUAUCAAACAGGAUUAGAGACCCUUGUAGUC